RNAcentral lists this ribosomal RNA (1307 nucleotides) under uncultured bacterium. Its description in RNAcentral is "bacterial SSU rRNA". It matches the Rfam family "Bacterial small subunit ribosomal RNA", at positions 28 to 1381 of the family's 1533-position model. The record is from RNAcentral.
AACGUACGCUGGGCGGCACGCCUAACACAUGCAAGUCGAACGAAGUAGCAAUACUUAGUGGCAGACGGGUGAGUAACAUGUAGGUAUCUGCCCUUUGGCCUGGAAUAACACGAGGAAACUUGUGCUAAUACCGGAUAAGUCUUUACGGAGAAAGCUUUAUGCACCAUUGGAUGAGCCUGCACUUGAUUAGUUUGUUGGUGGGGUAAUGGCCUACCAAGACUGUGAUCAAUAGCUGAUUUGAGAGGAUGAUCAGCCACAUUGGGACUGAGACACGGCCCAAACUCCUACGGGAGGCAGCAGUGGGGAAUCUUGCACAAUGGAGGAAACUCUGAUGCAGCGAUGCCGCGUGAGUGAAGAAGGCCUUUGGGUUGUAAAGCUCUUUCGUCGGGGAAGAAAAUGACUGUACCCGAAUAAGAAGGUCCGGCUAACUUCGUGCCAGCAGCCGCGGUAAUACGAAGGGACCUAGCGUAGUUCGGAAUUACUGGGCUUAAAGAGUUCGUAGGUGGUUGAAAAAGUUAGUGGUGAAAUCCCAGAGCUUAACUCUGGAACUGCCAUUAAAACUUUUCAGCUAGAGUAUGAUAGAGGAAAGCAGAAUUUCUAGUGUAGAGGUGAAAUUCGUAGAUAUUAGAAAGAAUACCAAUUGCGAAGGCAGCUUUCUGGAUCAUUACUGACACUGAGGAACGAAAGCAUGGGUAGCGAAGAGGAUUAGAUACCCUCGUAGUCCAUGCCGUAAACGAUGUGUGUUAGACGUUGGAAAUUUAUUUUCAGUGUCGCAGGGAAACCGAUAAACACACCGCCUGGGGAGUACGACCGCAAGGUUAAAACUCAAAUGAAUUGACGGGGACCCGCACAAGUAGUGGAGCAUGUGGUUUAAUUCGAAGAUACGCGCAGAACCUUACCAACACUUGACAUGUUCGUCGCGACUUUAAGAGAUUAGAGUUUUCGGUUCGGCCGGACGAAACACAGGUGCUGCAUGGCUGUCGUCAGCUCGUGUCGUGAGAUGUUGGGUUAAGUCCCGCAACGAGCGCAACCCUCACUUUUAGUUGCCAUCAUUAAGUUGGGCACUCUGAAAGAACUGCCAGUGAUAAGCUGGAGGAAGGUGGGGAUGACGUCAAGUCCUCAUGGCCCUUACGUGUUGGGCUACACACGUGCUACAAUGGUAUCUACAACAGGAAGCAAGACUGCGAAGUUAAGCAAAUCCCUAAAAGAUACCUCAGUUCGGAUUGCACUCUGCAACUCGAGUGCAUGAAGCUGGAAUUACUAGUAAUCGUGGAUCAGCGUGCCACGGUGAAUGCGUUCCCGGGUCU